RNAcentral lists this small RNA (70 nucleotides) under Sinorhizobium meliloti 2011. RNAcentral describes it as "putative ncRNA". The record is from RNAcentral. Lineage: Bacteria; Pseudomonadati; Pseudomonadota; Alphaproteobacteria; Hyphomicrobiales; Rhizobiaceae.
AUGGAGAAAUUGGGCGACCACGAUCUCGAGGCAAUCAAGGUAACGGUCGGAUCGGUCGAAGCGCUUGCGA